GCCCUACGGGGCGCAGCAGGCGCGAAAACUUUACAAUGCGAGAAAUCGUGAUAAGGGAACCCCGAGUGCCCGUAAAUUCGGGCUGUCCAUCAGUGUAAAAAACUGGUGAAGAAAGGGCCGGGCAAGACCGGUGCCAGCCGCCGCGGUAAUACCGGCGGCUCGAGUGGUGGCCACUAUUACUGGGCUUAAAGCGUCCGUAGCUGGAUUGUUAAGUCUCUUGGGAAAUCCACCGGCUCAACCGAUGGGCGUUCAGGAGAUACUGGCAAUCUAGGGACCGGGAGAGGUGAGAGGUACUCCAGGGGUAGGAGUGAAAUCCUGUAAUCCUUGGGGGACCACCUGUGGCGAAGGCGUCUCACUAGAACGGCUCCGACAGUGAGGGACGAAAGCUGGGGGAGCAAACCGGAUUAGAUACCCGGGUAGUCCCAGCUGUAAACGAUGCGCGUUAGGUGUAUCGGUGACCACGAGUCAUCGAGGUGCCGAAGGGAAACCGUGAAACGUGCCGCCUGGGAAGUACGGUAGCAAGGCUGAAACU
This 532-nucleotide ribosomal RNA is filed under the name uncultured archaeon. RNAcentral's name for it is "bacterial SSU rRNA". It matches the Rfam family "Archaeal small subunit ribosomal RNA", at positions 320 to 856 of the family's 1478-position model. The record is from RNAcentral.